UACGAAGGGGGCUAGCGUUGCUCGGAAUCACUGGGCGUAAAGGGUGCGUAGGCGGGUCUUUAAGUCAGAGGUGAAAUCCUGGAGCUCAACUCCAGAACUGCCUUUGAUACUGAGGAUCUUGAGUUCGGGAGAGGUGAGUGGAACUGCGAGUGUAGAGGUGAAAUUCGUAGAUAUUCGCAAGAACACCAGUGGCGAAGGCGGCUUACUGGUCCGGUUCUGACGCUGAGGUGCGAAAGCGUGGGGAGCAAACAGG
Molecule: ribosomal RNA, 253 nt
Filed under: uncultured bacterium
Lineage: Bacteria
Description: partial 16S ribosomal RNA
Rfam family: Bacterial small subunit ribosomal RNA
Source: RNAcentral